This 439-nucleotide ribosomal RNA is filed under the name uncultured bacterium. RNAcentral describes it as "partial 16S ribosomal RNA". It matches the Rfam family "Bacterial small subunit ribosomal RNA", at positions 339 to 795 of the family's 1533-position model. The record is from RNAcentral.
CUACGGGUGGCACCAGUGGGGAAUAUUGCACAAUGGGGGAAACCCUGAUGCAGCAACGCCGCGUGGAGGAUGACGCAUUUCGGUGUGUAAACUCCUUUUAUAUAGGAAGAUAAUGACGGUACUAUAUGAAUAAGCACCGGCUAACUCCGUGCCAGCAGCCGCGGUAAUACGGAGGGUGCAAGCGUUACUCGGAAUCACUGGGCGUAAAGCGCGCGCAGGCGGCCUUUUAAGUUGGAUGUGAAAGCCUAUGGCUUAACCAUAGAACUGCAUCCAAAACUAUCAGGCUAGAGUCUGGGAGGGGAAGAUGGAAUUAGUUGUGUAGGGGUAAAAUCCGUAGAGAUAACUAGGAAUACCAAAAGCGAAGGCGAUCUUCUGGAACAGUACUGACGCUGAGGCGCGAAAGCGUGGGGAGCAAAUAGGAUUAGAUACCCCUGUAGUC